This 253-nucleotide ribosomal RNA is filed under the name uncultured bacterium. RNAcentral's name for it is "partial 16S ribosomal RNA". It matches the Rfam family "Bacterial small subunit ribosomal RNA", at positions 524 to 776 of the family's 1533-position model. The record is from RNAcentral.
UACGAAGGGGGCUAGCGUUGUUCGGAAUUACUGGGCGUAAAGCGCGCGUAGGCGGAUCGAUCAGUCAGGGGUGAAAUCCCAGAGCUCAACUCUGGAACUGCCUUUGAUACUGUCGAUCUAGAGUCCGGAAGAGGUGAGUGGAAUUGCGAGUGUAGAGGUGAAAUUCGUAGAUAUUCGCAGGAACACCAGUGGCGAAGGCGGCUCACUGGUCCGGUACUGACGCUGAGGUGCGAAAGCGUGGGGAGCAAACAGG